RNAcentral lists this ribosomal RNA (253 nucleotides) under uncultured bacterium. Its description in RNAcentral is "partial 16S ribosomal RNA". It matches the Rfam family "Bacterial small subunit ribosomal RNA", at positions 524 to 776 of the family's 1533-position model. The record is from RNAcentral.
UACGGGGGGAGCAAGCGUUGUUCGGAUUUACUGGGCGUAAAGGGCGCGUAGGCGGCACUGCAAGUCAGUUGUGAAAUCUCCGGGCUUAACCCGGAAAGGUCAACUGAUACUGCAGGGCUAGAGUGCAGAAGGGGCAACUGGAAUUCUCGGUGUAGCGGUGAAAUGCGUAGAUAUCGAGAGGAACACCUGCGGCGAAGGCGGGUUGCUGGGCUGACACUGACGCUGAGGCGCGAAAGCCAGGGGAGCGAACGGG